AUUGAACGCUGGCGGCAGGCCUAACACAUGCAAGUCGAGCGGAUGAAGGGAGCUUGCUCCUGGAUUCAGCGGCGGACGGGUGAGUAAUGCCUAGGAAUCUGCCUGGUAGUGGGGAUAACGUCCGGAAACGGGCGCUAAUACCGCAUACGUCCUGAGGGAGAAAGUGGGGGAUCUUCGGACCUCACGCUAUCAGAUGAGCCUAGGUCGGAUUAGCUAGUUGGUGGGGUAAAGGCCUACCAAGGCGACGAUCCGUAACUGGUCUGAGAGGAUGAUCAGUCACACUGGAACUGAGACACGGUCCAGACUCCUACGGGAGGCAGCAGUGGGGAAUAUUGGACAAAGGGCGAAAGCCUGAUCCAGCCAUGCCGCGUGUGUGAAGAAGGUCUUCGGAUUGUAAAGCACUUUAAGUUGGGAGGAAGGGCAGUAAGUUAAUACCUCGCUGUUUUGACGUUACCAACAGAAUAAGCACCGGCUAACUUCGUG
RNAcentral lists this ribosomal RNA (483 nucleotides) under uncultured bacterium. Its description in RNAcentral is "partial 16S ribosomal RNA". It matches the Rfam family "Bacterial small subunit ribosomal RNA", at positions 30 to 507 of the family's 1533-position model. The record is from RNAcentral.